GAUGAACGCUGGCGGCGUGCCUAAUACAUGCAAGUCGAGCGAACAGACGAGGAGCUUGCUCCUCUGACGUUAGCGGCGGACGGGUGAGUAACACGUGGAUAACCUACCCAUAAGACUGGGAUAACUUCGGGAAACCGGAGCUAAUACCGGAUAAUAUGUUGAAUCGCAUGGUUCAACAGUGAAAGACGGUCUUGCUGUCACUUAUAGAUGGAUCCGCGCCGCAUUAGCUAGUUGGUAAGGUAACGGCUUACCAAGGCAACGAUGCGUAGCCGACCUGAGAGGGUGAUCGGCCACACUGGAACUGAGACACGGUCCAGACUCCUACGGGAGGCAGCAGUAGGGAAUCUUCCGCAAUGGGCGAAAGCCUGACGGAGCAACGCCGCGUGAGUGAAGAAGGUCUUCGGAUCGUAAAACUCUGUUAUUAGGGAAGAACAAAUGUGUAAGUAACUAUGCACGUCUUGACGGUACCUAAUCAGAAAGCCACGGCUAACUACGUG
This 497-nucleotide ribosomal RNA is filed under the name uncultured bacterium. Its description in RNAcentral is "partial 16S ribosomal RNA". It matches the Rfam family "Bacterial small subunit ribosomal RNA", at positions 28 to 507 of the family's 1533-position model. The record is from RNAcentral.